RNAcentral lists this ribosomal RNA (363 nucleotides) under Triticum aestivum (bread wheat). RNAcentral's name for it is "partial small subunit ribosomal RNA". Lineage: Eukaryota; Viridiplantae; Streptophyta; Magnoliopsida; Poales; Poaceae. The record is from RNAcentral.
AUGGGCGUCUUCACCUUCGUGUGCCGCGACUCCGGCGCCGAGUGGUCGGCCAAGCAGCACAAGGGCGAGCUCGAGGCCUCCGCCGCCACCCCCUACGACCUGCAGCGCCAGCUCGUGUCCGCCGCCUGCGCCGAGGACAAGUCCGGUGGCGUCCAGUCCUCCUUCACCAUGGUCUCCCCCAAGUCCGCCAUCUUCCAGGUGGUCAUUGGUGGCGCCUCUGCUGGUCCGAUCGGUGGUGGUGCUGCUGCAGGUGGUGCCGCUGCAUCAGGUGGAGCUGCCGCCGAGGCCCCCAAGGGUGAGGAGAAGAAGGAAGAGGAGAAGGAGGAGAGCGAGGAUGACCUUGGCUUCUCCCUCUUCGAUUAG